AAAAAAAAAAUUGACCCUAUAUAUUGACCUCACCAAAAAUUUUUUCAAAAUCUGCCACUAAUUAAGCCCACCCAACUUACUUUUGUUUAUAAGGAUUUCAUCUAUCUUACAUGUGAGUUCCAACAGGGUCUAGCAAGAAUUUUCCAAAUAGGAUAUUAUCUCAAAGAUGGUGAAUAGAAAGAAAAGAAAAGGGGAUUGACAAUUUGAUCCACCAGUGCAAUUAGAAGCUAAACCAUGCUGUAUCUUUUCCUCUGAGGAGGAUUCACAUCUAGCAAUUGCUUGACAACAUCUCUCAUCGUGGGUCUGCUGCUUGGUUCCUUCUCAGUACAUCUCAAUGCAAUUAAAAGCACACCAAUUAUCUGUUCUGCAACAUUUGAAUCCACAGUUUCCUCCAUCAGGCUUGAAUCAACAAUUGCAGUGAUAUCUUGUGUCUCACUCCAGAGGGACCUAACCCAUCCAACAAUAUCUACUUCCUCCAUAAAUGAUGAAUCUGAUGGCUUCCUUCUGGUUAUUAAUUCAAGCAAAACGACCCCAUAACUAUAUACAUCAGAUUCUUUACCCCUUGCUGUCAUAUAUGCAUUUUCUGGUGCAAUGUAUCCAAGUGUACCAGAAACCGAGAUGGAUGUUCCUGAAGCAGAUGACUGAUCAAGAAGCUUGGCAAUGCCAAAGUCAGAGAUGCGAGGCUCCAUUUCAGAGUCCAGGAGUAUAUUCUGUGGUUUGAUGUCUCUGUGCAAUAUGGGGGGAUCACAAUCAUGGUGGAGAUAUGCCAAUCCAUGAGCAGUUCCAACUGCUAUUUUAUAGCGAGCACUCCAUUCCAGCUUUCGUUGUUGAUUAGCUGCAUAUAAAACAUCAUGAAGAUUCCCAUUUUCCAUGUACCUGUAUAAGAUCAAUCCGUAAUCUUUUCUAAACCAAUAGUCUUCCAAUUUCACCAGAUUCCGAUGCCUUAUGCUCUCAAUGGUUUGAAUUUCUCUGAUCAUGCUUCGACUUCCAUCUUCGUAAUCUGAAAAUUUAAGCUUCUUCACUGCAAAAACAUUUGCUGGACCUAAUUCAGCCUUAAAAACAUCUCCAUGGGCCCCCCUCCCAACAAUAUACUUGUCAUUUAGAUUCUCAGUAGCCUCCAUUAUUUGGUUAAGAAGGGAUUCAUCAUCCUCCGUGGGCUUCCUUCCCAAUGCUUCAUGCUGCUUUCUUCUUCUGCAAAGCAGAAACACACAAGCAAAUCCCAGAAGCAGAAAGACACCUAAUGAUGAUCCAAGGGCAAUCAUUGCAAUUUCAGUUUUGCUAAGGUUUUUUCCAUUGUGGGAACUAAUGGCACAAACUCUGAAAUUGCUGUUUCCAACACAAUUCAAGCCAUCUGACAGAGGACAAUUGAGACAGAGACCAGGAUUGCCCAAGAAUGAUGAUGGAGAAUCAUUCACCAAUUUCAUCAGUUUUUCUGGUAUUGAGCCAGUGAAGCCGUUGUAUGAAAUAUUAGCUUCCAAUAGUGACUGCAAGCUAUUAAGAACUUCCAAACUUCCCGUAAGAUUGUUGCUAGAGAUAUCCAGACUUUGUAGCUUGCUCAAAUCCCCCAGCUCCCGAGGAAUAUGACCAAUUAAUCCAUUACUUCUGAGAUCCAAACCAUAUUGAAGAUUCCUCAGUGUUCCAAUCGAAGAGGGAAUUUCCCCUGCCAGCAAGUUUCCACCCAUUCUUAGAAGACUAAGCCUUUUAAGUUCCGACAAAAAUGGUGGAAUGCCCCCAGUAAAACGAUUUUCUUCUAAAAUUAAAGUGGAUAAACAUGUCAAGUUCCGCAAACUCGAUGGAAUUGAACAGUUCAAAGAAUUGAACCCAACAUCAAAUACGUCUAAUUUCUUCCAGGUUGAUAGCUGAGGAGGCAAACAACCUUGCAAAUGAUUAUGUGCCAGGAACACUUCUGUAAGAUUUACAAGGUUACCAAGCUCUGGAGGUAUAAAACCUCCAAGCCUAUUCAUGGACAAGUCAAUGGAAGUGAGAUUCGUGCAAUUCCCCAAGCUUGAAGGAAUUUUUCCACUAAUGUUGUUACCUUUGAUGUUUAUAUAUGCAAGGUUUGGAUUGUCCAGAAAUUCUGGCAAAACCCCUGAGAGAUUAUUAUGAUCAAGUCUCGUUCUCCAGAGAGUUGGACAUUUUCCUACAUCAGAUGGUAUGCUACCUUGAAAAUGGUUACUACCCAAAUUCAGAACUCUUAAACGCUGCCUAAAGCAGAGAUUUGGUGGAAUUUGACCAGUGAACUGAUUAUACAUCAACUCCAGCAAAUCUAAACUGCUGUUAACUCCUAAACUUUGAGGUAUGACUCCAAAGAACGAGUUGUUAUACAGCGAAACACCUUCCAGACGCUUGAGAUGGGUCAACUCCAAAGGUAAUUCACCUGAAAGAUUGUUCUUAUACAAAAGAACAUGUCGAAGACUUUGAAUUUUCCAGAUGCUAAUUGGAAUCUCACCAUUCAAGCGGUUCUCAAACAAUUCUAGGUUCUGCAGUUCACUCAGCAUUCCCAAUUCAAUUGGAAUUUCCCCCUCAAGUUGGUUUCUGUAUAACUUUAAUUCUGUCAACGACUUGCACUUCCCAAGUUCAGGAGGAAUUCUCCCAGACAAACGAUUUUCAGUAAGGUAAAGGAGUGAAAGCUUAUCUAGCAAGCCAAAGGAAGAUGGGAUAUUGCCUGUCAAGUUGCUACCCACAAUGGCCAAUAUGGAUAAGCUACUACAGUUGCCCAGACCCUGUGGAAGAUCCCCACUAAAUUUAUUGUACGACAAAACUAGACUUUCUAAAUUCUUGCAAUUGCCCAAACCCAAAAGAAUAUUACCUUGAAGUCUGUUACUGCUGACAUCCAAGGCGACGAGGUUAUCAAGAAAAUUUAGAGACUGAGGCAAAAGACCCACCAAUUUGUUAUUAUUCAAAUAAAGUCGUUCCAAUUCACUACAAUUUCUUAUAGAAGGAGGAAUUAUGCCUGAUAAUAGAUUGUGGUCUAGCCAUAACUCAGAAACAUUAGUCAAGUUCCCAAUGUUACUAGGAAUUGAACCACUGAAACUGUUCUGGUCCAGGAAUAUUGUCUCUAAAUGUGGAAUUUGAAACAACCCAUCAGGUAUUUCUCCACUCAGCGAAUUGCUGUGAAGACUCAACCCCUUCAAAUUCCGCAGAUAUUUUAAGCUAUUCGGAAUUUCUCCAGUAAAAUGAUUUUCAGAAAGAUCUAAGCUUUCCAGUAGAGUACAAUUGCUCAGUUCUGAUGGAAUCACACCAGAGAAGUUGUUAUUGGCCAAAUUAAGGAUCUGCAACUCGGCCAAAUGUGCGAUCUCUGGUCCCAAUUGACCAGAAAUAGCACAACCGGAAAGAUUUAAAGAUAUGACAUUAUGGAUUCUCUUGUUACAUUGUAUGCCUUCCCAUGAACAAGGGAUAGAAUCAGAAUCAUUCCAUCCCAAGGCUAUGGAAGGAGGCACAGAUGUCCAGUGCCUCCUGAGUGACAAUAAAGUUAACCCAUCUGAGUUCAAAGCAGAAACAACAAGUAUCCACACAUGCAGCAGCAAAAAGAGAACCAAAACAAGCUUCAUGCUAUGUGUACUAGAAAGGGAUCAAGGAGGAAGAGGAGUUGCCACUUACCUGCUGCAAGCAAGCAUGCAAGUAAACUUAAUUAGCAGUUUUAGAGAGUCCCGUUUUGAGUUUUGAAGUAUCUGUCAACUGUCAUGGUGAAUGAAAGGAAAAUAGGAUUGGAUUUCAGCGAAUUUAAGAGAGAGAAAUGGGAGAGGAAGCUGAGAGGAGAGAGAGAGAGAGAGAGGGGAAGAAAAAAGAGAAUUAUAUCUUGUUUGCUCUUGUGGGCUAGAGUCUGCACAACUAUAUACAGAUAUUAAAGGUUAGAGAGGUUUCCA
This 3866-nucleotide unclassified non-coding RNA is filed under the name Hevea brasiliensis (rubber tree). Lineage: Eukaryota; Viridiplantae; Streptophyta; Magnoliopsida; Malpighiales; Euphorbiaceae. The record is from RNAcentral.